This is a long non-coding RNA of Spodoptera frugiperda (fall armyworm), 461 nucleotides long. RefSeq lists it as uncharacterized. The transcript has 2 exons. The record is from RefSeq and is a predicted model, not a curated record. Lineage: Eukaryota; Metazoa; Arthropoda; Insecta; Lepidoptera; Noctuidae.
CUGUAAUUACGUCAACUAGACAUGUAAAAAAUCGUCGAAAAUCGUAAAAAAAUAUAAAAAUGAUGAAAUAUGCCAUUUUAUAGUGAAAAGACGAAAGCCAUAACAAAAAUGUGCCUAGGAGUGGUAUAUCGUAUCACCGAUUUCCGAAGGAUCCACAAAUAAAAGGAAAAUGGAUCGAGAUGACUGGAAGACAAAAUUGGUUUCCUACCACUAACUAGUACAAUUUGUUUGGACCAUGUUGUACAACAAGAUAUUAUAUUAUGAGUAUAACCGAAAAAAAUACGCAAUUUUUUACUAUAAAUAAGUCUCAGUUAAAUUUCCAGAUUGUGCAGGUAGAAAUACCUAAUCACGUUAUGUAAUAUUGGUCACCAACUGAAGGGAAGUAACUUUAUUUAAUUAUGUUCAGUUUUAUUUUCUAUUUUUUGUAACAUACGACCAUAAUAAAAAAUACUUUAUAUAUA